Molecule: ribosomal RNA, 374 nt
Filed under: uncultured bacterium
Lineage: Bacteria
Description: bacterial SSU rRNA
Rfam family: Bacterial small subunit ribosomal RNA
Source: RNAcentral
AUUGAACGCUGGCGGCAUGCCUUACACAUGCAAGUCGAACGGCAGCGGACCUUCGGGUGCCGGCGAGUGGCGAACGGGUGAGUAAUAUAUCGGAACGUACCUUUCAGUGGGGGAUAACGUAGCGAAAGUUACGCUAAUACCGCAUAUUCUGUGAGCAGGAAAGCAGGGGAUCGCAAGACCUUGCGCUGAUUGAGCGGCCGAUAUCAGAUUAGCUAGUUGGUGAGGUAAAGGCUCACCAAGGCGACGAUCUGUAGCGGGUCUGAGAGGAUGAUCCGCCACACUGGAACUGAGACACGGUCCAGACUCCUACGGGAGGCAGCAGUGGGAAUUUUGGACAAUGGGCGCAAGCCUGAUCCAGCCAUGCCGCGUGAGUG